This is an RNA transcript of Chenopodium quinoa (quinoa), 5105 nucleotides long. RefSeq lists it as uncharacterized. The transcript has 6 exons. NCBI's taxonomy places the organism in Eukaryota, Viridiplantae, Streptophyta, Magnoliopsida, Caryophyllales, Amaranthaceae. The record is from RefSeq and is a predicted model, not a curated record.
AUCCCCUGGGCGCAUAGGGCCUAUUUGUUUUGGAAGCAAAUAGGAGGGCGCAAUGGUAAUUUUGGCAAAGCUUAGUUGGAAUGACUUUUGGUUUACCCCGUUAUAUUUUAAAUUGUAACGGGCCCUAGUUUUGGGGGCUUUUGUAAUAUUUUAUUUCCCUUGUCAUAUAUAUUCUGUCUCUUCCGCUUCUCUCUCUUCCCGAAUUUCUCUUGUUUCGAACUUCUACGAACUUCUACCUGUGUGGUUUGCUCUUGAAGCGUGGUGGUGAGCAUCUGUGGUUCGGGGAAAGGAAAGCAUUCGUAGUUAGUUGCAAGUUGUGAAUUUGAGUAAUUUGUGUUCUUGAAGAUACGUGGUUUAAAUUAUGUAGAGAAAUAGUGCGAAUUGUUUUUUUUUUGUGGUGUGAAUUUACGGUUGUAUAAUAAUGUGUGAUUUGAUUGUGAAGAGUUGUUGUUAGUUGUUCUUAAAUUUUUGUAAUUUAGAGUUUUUUGUUUGGUUGGGUGUCGACUGUGUAAUCUCUAAUUUUAAUGUUAAUUGUUCGCUUGUUGUUUUUAUGAUUACGAAUUGCUGAAAUAAGUGUGGUUGUUGUGUUAAAUUUCGGACUUUUGAUUUGCGGAGUAGGGUUUUGACUAUUAUCUGGGUAUAAAUUGAACAAAGAAAUGGUUUUAAAGCUCAAUUAUAAUUCAGCUCUACGCAAUUGUAUAGGUCGAAUCAUUUUGGUGUUGGUGGUAGGAAAAGAUAGAUAAUUAGGGUGUCUGGAAUUAGGGGAGUUUGUAAUAUUUUCUGGUAUUUGGGUAGAUGUAAAUGUUAUGAAAUGAAUAUGUUGAGUAAUUGGAUGCGUUGGUAUUGAAUUAAUUUCAGUUUGAGAUGUUGUUGGAUGGUUUGUCAAAUGUGGUGUUUUGUUUGUCAAAAAGUUAUUACAAAUUGAGAAAAGAGGGUGUGUGAAAUUUACAGGAGAUUAAUGAAGACUAACAAGAAGGGUUCUGUAAUGGUGCCCCCUAGGAGGGUUGUGGUGACUAAUGGUUGUUUUGCCUGGCGUGGUGUGUGUAUGUAAUAUAUUAAGAUAAUAUGUACAUUAUUGUAGAGGACUUUGAAAGCUGCAAAUAAUGGGGCUAAAAAGAAAGCUGAUAAUAAGGAGAAGAAGAAAGUGAAAGCUAUUCCUGUUUUUGAGGAAGAGACAUUGGAAGAUACCAGUGAGCAUAGUGGUGAUGAUGAUGAUGUUUCAGAUCCAGAUUUUCAGUCAACUAGAAAAUCUGAUCCGGACGAUGAUGAAAAGGAUGAAGACGAUGUGGAUGUAGAGGAACAGGCAGAGUCUGAAGACUAGACUGAAGAACCACAAGAGGAAAAGAGUGAUCUGGAUAAUCUUCUUGUGAGGUUGUUGACUGAGAGGUUUAAAAAUGGAAAGUGGAAGGGAGCUCCUGCUGAGAAACCGGAAGGUAAAAAGGCAAAGGUGAAGGCUGAGAAGACAAAGGGUGAUAUGGUGAGGGCUAGAGGGGUUGUGGUAAAAACACAGUCAAGAACUACGCAAAAGGCCCCUAAUUUGAAUGGUGUGAAGGCCUUUGGUAGUAUAGUGCACACGUUUGAUGACUCCAGGAAGAAGGUGGUGACAGAAAUGGGAUUUGGGGGAUUGUUAAAGAUUCCACUUACUUACUUGCCUCGUAAAUUUGCGUACUGGCUACUGACAAGGGUCGAUGGGGAAGGUUCCCUUGUCUUUGGUGAUCAGUAUGUUGUUCCACUGAGCCCUGUUCAGGUGGAGUAUGUGCUUAGGAUUUCAAUGGGUUCCCAGGAAAUUCCAGCAAGGAUUCCGGCAGACAAUGAAGAGAUGCAGACAGAGGCAAGAAGAAUAGUGCAAAGGUAUUCAAAGGCUGGUGGUGAGAAUAUCUCGUUAUCGCUCAGUAGCUGCCGAGUGAGUCAUUCGAACUGACAUUGAGGGGAAUGUGUUGCCUCUUUCUAGUGAUGUUCAGAAGGCUGAAUUCAAGAUUGUCUUUCUUAUAGUUGCCUCUUUCUAGUGGUGUUGAGAAGGCUGAAUUUAUAGUGAGGGGAAUGUGUUGCCUCUUUCACCUCAACAUUGCUUCUGUAUGAUGAAACGGUGGAGUAUAACUGGUGCACAUGGGUGUAUAAGUGGAUGUGCACUGCAGCAAGGAAGUUCCAAAAGAAGUUUCAAGAAAAGGGAUAUGUUGCCGGAUCCGGUGGAUGUAUUUUGUUUGUGUUGGUAGGUAGUCAGUGUAUUUUAUUUGAAUUUUGGUUUUGUUUAUUAAUAUUGGUGUGUUACUUUUAUUACAUCUUAUAGUAAUGGUUUUUUUUUAUUUUAUUUUGUACAGAUUUUUUACCUUGACCAUCUGAAUCGCGUUCCCAUAUCAUGGGGUAUGACGCCGAGAUUGCAGGCUUGGUCGCAAGAAAAAAUAAAUGAAGUUGUGUCAGAUGACAAAUAUGAAGGUGGUGACGGUGGACGGCUGCCGGUGAGUUAUCUUUUUUUUUUUGUAGUAGUAGUUUUGUAAAACCUUUGUAAAUGAUGUUUUGGUGAUUAGUAUGUGCUUUUGUGUUGUAGUCUCUGAAUAUUGCGUACGGUGAGCCACAUCCAUUGUCAUCGCGUGAUGAAAGAAUGAAUUCAGAAGUAGAAGGUCGGAUUACGGAGAAGGUGAUGGAGAGGUUGACUCCUCUGUUGGUAUCUUUUAUAGAUAAAAAAAAGUUGCUAAUGUUUUUCAGUCAUUCACUGACUUGAUGGGAAGCUGUAUUGACACAGCUAUUGCAAGGAGAUUGUCAUCAAUGGCAGUUGGUGCUCCUGUUGUUAACAAAACGGUUGAGGCGGAUGGUAGGCAAACAGUUUUAGCAAAAAUGGAUGGCUUUGUGGCAGUUUCUGGUUUGGUUCCUGGUGUUUAGCAUGUUGGAAAGGGAACUGAAUCUUUGGGGCUUGAUAAGGUUGUGAAGGAAACUGAGUGUAUGAGGGUUGAUAAUGGUGGUCAACAUGUGUUGAAUGGGGUUGUUGACCUCUCUGUGUUGGAUGCUGGUGAAAAGGCUCCUUCUGAGGUUGAGCCUGUUGUAAAAAAGGCUCCUUCUAAGGUUGAGCCUGUUUUAAAAAAGGCUCCUAAAGAGGUUGUGCAUCUAAAAAAGGCUCCUAAAGAGGUUGAGCAUGUAAACAAGGCUCCAAAAGAGGUGGAGGUGAAUGGGCUGGUUGAGGAUGAUGAAGAGUUGAAUGGGCUGGUUCAGAAAAUUGGUGAAUAAGUAGGUGUGAAUGCAAAUAAGGAUGGUUUUGAGAUCAAUGCUGUUGAAAUGAGUGAUUUCCCAAGCGGUGAUUCUAAAACUGAUGAGGACAAUAUGCACGGCCUGGAGCUGAGGUAGUGCUGGGAUCGAUUGCUUGGUACGAGGGGCACAAACGUAUUGUUUGAUCGUGGGAGUAGUUUGGGGAGUUAUUCUUCAUCUAAAGGGGAAGAAGACGUCACUAGGAACGGGGACGGUACUGCAAAGAAGAGGGUUGUGAAGCCUACCGAUAAAGCUUUGUCAGCAAUGUUCACGAAUGUGUCAAAGAUACGAAGGCAUACGACGCUGGAGGCAUGUCUGCUGCAGUACGUACGCCGUUGGAAGGAGCUGAAUGACCCACUUUGGUAAUUCUCCAUUUUCUGAUUAAGUUACUAUUUUUUUUUUGUUUCUUUUAAAUGAUGUUAAUUGUUGAAGGAUUAAGUUAUAUAUGUUUAACUGGUUUAUUGCUGGUUUGAUGUGUUGCUAGCCCUGGCAUUGUUUUGAUCAAAUGUGAUAAUAUGAAAGCCAAUCAGAAGGAUUGCUUUGGUGUAGUGCAUCCUAAAUCAAGGGUCUCCUCUGGUUAUGUCAGGAUGGCCAGUGUGCUCGACACAAAGCAAUGGGCAACCAAAGACUUUCUCAACAGAGCAAGCAUAUUUUGCUUGACCCAAGCUUUGCGAUAAGUACUCCAUUGUAGCGUGAAAUCAAUGUGUUGUGUGCGUACCUUAUUAAAUAAGGAAUGGAAUGGAAUGAAUACGAAAUAUUAUGUUGGUUUGUUUUAUUUGAUAUAGGAUUGAAUCAUGUUGAAGGAAGAAGGCAAAGAAGAACAUAUUGCUAGCAAGUAUGGCAAAGUUUUAUUAAGCUACAAGCUUUCGCAGAUUCAAACGGUUUGUCACUAAAUCCCAAUUGUUGACUAUGUAUUUUCGCUUUAACCGCCCAUGGAAUUGUAAUACUGUGUGGACACUUGUUGGCUGAUUGGCAAUGAAGCAGGUGUUCAUUCCAGUCCUCGAAGUUCCCAAGGAUUUCCCCGACAACUCCCACCGGUGGUGCUUGGCUCUGGAUAUGAAGGGUCGAAAGCUCUGGAUGAUUGAUUCCUUGUAUCCUGAUCCAUUCGAAAAACAUGUUGAGAUAUUUGAUCUUAUGUUAUUUAACCGAACGCUUCAUCGUUGUACUUCUUUUUUUGUUGAUUGUAUGCUGUGUUUUUCGUGUUUUGACAAGCUGGAAUGUAAUCGUACACUCCCGUGUCAUACCAUGUUAUUGUAAUGGCACACAGGUGAAAGGUAUUGAUGUACUUUUUCAGAUGAUUGACCCACAAUGGACAAUUGGUCGGAUCUGUUCUUGGAGUAGAAACAUUGUUGAGUGCAUGGAUCCUGGCGAUAACUCAUAUUGUGGUGUCCUCACGCUAGCCUGCAUCAAAUUCUUUGCUAGGCGGUUCACCAGGAGGUUUAGUGUGGGGAAUAUUCCUAAUGCAAGAAAUAAUCUGUUGUUGGAUGAUGUACAAUGUGAUGUGAACGAGCUGAGGGAUUCCCUGGAAUCCUUGGUUCCAAGUCCAAGGACCUCUACCAGAAAUCAGUGACAAAUGAACGAUAUGGUUGUUGGGGGUGGUGGUUUUUUGAUGUGCUCCCUUUUAUGUGAAUAUUUGUUUUUUAAGUACGUGAUGAACUUGUCUUUGUGCCUGGCCUAACUGUGUGUUGUACUAGGUGCCUAACUAUGUGGCUAAGUUAUCUGUUUUGGCAGUGUACCAAACUUUAAUUUUGGUGGUGCACUAGUUCCCUUUUGAGGUUUUCAAAUAGUUUCAUUUAUAUGUUAAUGGUGUUACCUGUUCAUUAUGAUAAACAAUUACUGAGUAUGCAACGUAUGAAUUGUCCCAUUUA